Molecule: non-coding RNA, 932 nt
Organism: Drosophila melanogaster (fruit fly)
Lineage: Eukaryota; Metazoa; Arthropoda; Insecta; Diptera; Drosophilidae
Source: Ensembl
CACACAAAGGAAUCAAGCAAAUAAACACAUCACUCAGCAGGAUAAACCGGAGGAGUAAACUUGAAUCGAGUGGAGUGGAGUGGAGUGGUGUGCGGAGCGGAGUGUUUGUCACUUUGGCGACAUGUGUGACGGCGACGAUGAGCCAGGACUGCAGGGCUCCAGGACAUUGAGGCUCAUCUUCGUCUUCGGGCCGGGGAAUCCUUGCUGGAUUGUUUCUGGCGCAGACAGCAGGCCUACUACAAGUGGACGAACCUGCCUGUGAAGUGGGUUAGAUGGGUGGUCCUUCUGUGGUGCCUUGGUCCUUUGCCUUUGCUGCUCCUCGCAAGGCGCAACACGUUGCUCGAAAGACGCUGCCAGGCAUCACACACAGCGCACACACACUCUGAGAUUUGCAUAAGGAUGUGCUUAUGAUGUGCUCGGAUUAUGGCGCAAUGGACUGGAGCCUGCCGACCGUAGACGUAGACACCGAAGUCUGGAGACUGGAAGGGCUAUCUAGACAUCUACAUAAUAUUAAGACAAAGCUCGUUGAGCCGUAAGACGAUUUAAUCGAGCUGAAAUAAUGGACUAAGGCACCGAAACAGACACGCACACACACGGCAUUUUCAUGAACUUGUUGAGGGCGAUGGAGUGAGUCACCGACUUGGACCGAGAUUGGUGGCCACCCACCGCGUGCAGCCAUCAUCCAGCUCAAGGACAUGCAAUGAACCGAACUUGAUGCCCCUAUCGAAUUUAUGGCUUAUCUGAUUUCCAACAAUUAAAAACAGCACAGGACUCGGCCCUGCCUAACCCAUUCCCUCACCCAUACCCAAUUCCAUACCCAAUCCCAUUCCAAGUCCUGGAGCCACUCCUACGCCCAUUGAGCUUGUUUCGCUUGGCAGCGCUUUAAUGCAAUCAAAACAUUUAUAAAGCUUUAGACGCCGCGCGGCAAAGAC